Molecule: ribosomal RNA, 460 nt
Filed under: uncultured bacterium
Lineage: Bacteria
Description: partial 16S ribosomal RNA
Rfam family: Bacterial small subunit ribosomal RNA
Source: RNAcentral
CCUACGGGCGGCAGCAGUGAGGAAUAUUGGUCAAUGGGCGUAAGCCUGAACCAGCCAAGUCGCGUGAGGGAUGAAUGUUCUAUGGAUCGUAAACCUCUUUUAUAAGGGAGUAACGUGCGGGACGUGUCCCGUUUUGUAUGUACCUUAUGAAUAAGGAUCGGCUAACUCCGGUCCAGCAGCCGCGGUAAUACCGAGGAUCCGAGCGUUAUCCGGAUUUAUUGGGUUUAAAGGGUGCGUAGGCGGCCUUUUAAGUCAACGGGUAAAGUCUGUGGCUGAACCAUAGAAUUGCCGUUGAAACUGGGAGUCUUGAGUAUGCGUGAGGCAGGCGGAAUGCGUGGUGUAGCGGUGAAAUGCUUAGAUAUCACGCAGAACCCCGAUUGCGAAGGCAGCCUGCCAAGCCAUGACUGACGCUGAUGCACGAAAGCGUGGGGAUCAAACAGGAUUAGAUACCCUGGUAGUC